Molecule: ribosomal RNA, 253 nt
Filed under: uncultured bacterium
Lineage: Bacteria
Description: partial 16S ribosomal RNA
Rfam family: Bacterial small subunit ribosomal RNA
Source: RNAcentral
UACGUAGGUGGCGAGCGUUGUCCGGAUUUACUGGGCGUAAAGGGAGCGUAGGCGGACUUUUAAGUGAGAUGUGAAAUACUCGGGCUCAACUUGAGUGCUGCAUUUCAAACUGGAAGUCUAGAGUGCAGGAGGGGAGAAUGGAAUUCCUAGUGUAGCGGUGAAAUGCGUAGAGAUUAGGAAGAACACCAGUGGCGAAGGCGAUUCUCUGGACUGUGACUGACGCUGAGGCUCGAAAGCGUGGGGAGCAAACAGG